Molecule: small nuclear RNA, 60 nt
Filed under: Microcebus murinus (gray mouse lemur)
Lineage: Eukaryota; Metazoa; Chordata; Mammalia; Primates; Cheirogaleidae
Description: U7 small nuclear RNA (ENSMICG00000025038.3)
Rfam family: U7 small nuclear RNA
About the family: Animal histone pre-mRNAs are spliced by a different mechanism than nuclear pre-mRNAs and self-splicing introns. This processing involves the U7 snRNP, which contains only one RNA species: U7.
Source: Rfam by way of RNAcentral
AGGUGUUACAGCUUUUAGAAUUUGUCUAGCAGGUUUUCCCGUCCUCACCAGAAACCCCCC